UACGUAGGGUGCGAGCGUUGUCCGGAAUUACUGGGCGUAAAGAGCUCGUAGGUGGUUUGUCGCGUUGUCCGUGAAAACUCACAACUCAAUUGUGGGCGUGCGGGCGAUACGGGCAGACUGGAGUACUGCAGGGGAGACUGGAAUUCCUGGUGUAGCGGUGGAAUGCGCAGAUAUCAGGAGGAACACCGGUGGCGAAGGCGGGUCUCUGGACAGUUCCUGACGCUGAGGCACGAAAGCCAGGGGAGCGAACGGG
This 253-nucleotide ribosomal RNA is filed under the name uncultured bacterium. RNAcentral's name for it is "partial 16S ribosomal RNA". It matches the Rfam family "Bacterial small subunit ribosomal RNA", at positions 524 to 776 of the family's 1533-position model. The record is from RNAcentral.